CUAAGCUACUAAGGGCGCAUGGUGAAUGCCUUGGCGCUGGGAGGCGAUGAAGGACGUGGCAACCUGCGAUAAGCCCCGGGGAGCGGGAAGCACGCUGUGAUCCGGGGAUCUCCGAAUGGGGUAACCCGACGCGAGGAAUGUCGCGUCACCGAAGGUUGAAUUCAUAGGCCUUCGGAGCGAUACCCGCCGAAGUGAAACAUCUCAGUAGGCGGAGGAAAAGAAAGAGAUAUUCGAUUCCGUGAGUAGUGGCGAGCGAAAGCGGAAGAGCCUAAACCUUGUCCCGGCCGCAAGGCCCGGACAAGGGGUUGUAGGACCGCCAUCACGGGUAGUCGGGAGGUUAGGCGAAGCGGAUGGAAAGUCGCCCCAUAGAGGGUGAGAGGCCCGUAGCCGAAAACCAAACGACGCCCGGCGGGAUCCUGAGUAACGCGGGGCACGGGGAACCCCGCGUGAAGCUGCGCGGACCACCGCGUAAGGCUAAAUACUACCCAGCGACCGAUAGUGCACCAGUACCGUGAGGGAAAGGUGAAAAGAACCCCGUUUAGGGGAGUGAAAGAGAGCCUGCAACCAUGUGCCUACAAGGUGUCGGAGCCCGAAAGGGUGACGGCGUGCCUUUUGCUUAAUGAGUCUGCGAGUUACUGUCCGUGGCGAGUCUAAGCCUUUGUAAAGGCGGAGGCGAAGCGAAAGCGAGUCCUAACAGGGCGCCAAGCUGCGGGCAGUAGACCCGAAGGGGAGGUGAUCUACCCAUGGCCAGGAUGAAGUCACCUUAACCGGUGAUGGAGGUCCGAACAGGUGGCGGUUGAAAACGCCUCUGAUGAGCUGUGGGUAGGAGCGAAAGACUAACCAAACCCCCUGAUAGCUGGUUCUCCCCGAAAUAGCUUGAGGGCUAGCCUCGUGUGCUGACUCGCGGGGGUAAAGCACUGGAUGGACUAGGGCCCACACCAGGGUACCGAAUCCAACCAAACUCUGAAUACCGCGGGGUGGAGCACGGGAGUCAGACGGUGGGGGAUAAGCUUCAUCGUCGAGAGGGAAACAGCCCAGAUCGCCGGCUAAGGUGCCUAAAUGGCGUUUAGUGGAAAGGAUGUCCGAUCUCGAAGACAGUGAGGAUGUUGGCUUAGAGGCAGCCAUCAUUUAAACAGUGCGUAAUAGCUGACUCACCGAGAGAUCGGGCGCCGAAAAUGAUUGGCGAUAAGCGUCAUACCGAAGCCGCGGGUGCAGGUUUGCCUCGGCAAACCUGUGCGGUAGGGGAGCGUUCUGUGCGCUGUGAAGCGGGAGGGUAACCGACUGUGGAGCGCACGGAAGUGAGAAUGCAGACAUGAGUAGCGAUAAGGCCGGUGAAAAUCCGGCCCGCCGUAAGCCUAAGGUUUCCUGGGGAAGGUUCGUCCGCCCAGGGUUAGUCGGGAUCUAAGCCGAGGCCGUAAGGCGUAGGCGAUGACAAGCCGGUUAAUAUUCCGGCACCACCGACCUUUAAGCGAGGGGGACGCAUCGUCCGGAGAGAGGCGAGGUGCUGAACGUCCUUGUCCCGCAAGGGGACCCAAAGGAGCAAUCCGGAGGGGAUCUCUCGAAGGCGGUGCCGAGAAAAGCCCUCGUGAAUACUAAGGUGCCCGUACCGUAAACCGACACAGGUGGGCGAGUAGAGUAUACUCAGGCGCGUGAGUGAAAUCUCUUUAAGGAACUCGGCAAAUUGGCCCCGUAACUUCGGAAUAAGGGGUGCCCCCGCAAGGGGGCCGCAGUGAACAGCGCCAACCGACUGUUUAACAAAAACACAGCUCUCUGCUAAGUCGUGAAGACGACGUAUAGGGAGUGACACGUGACCAAUGCUGGAAGAUUAAGGUGAGGGGUUAGCUUGGCUUCGGCCAGGCGAAGCUCUGAGCCUAAGUCCCAGCGAAUGUCGGCCGUAACUAUAACGGUCCUAAGGUAGCGAAAUUCCUUGUCGGGUAAGUUCCGACCUGCACGAAUCGUGUAACGAGUUGGCGACUGUCUCAAAGAGAUGCUCAGCGAAAUUGUAGUGGCGGUGAAGAUGCCGCCUACCCGCAGUAGGACGGAAAGACCCCGUGCACCUUUACUGUAAGCUGUUGCUGGAUUCUCGUUGUGGAUGCUUAGCGUAAGUGGGAGGCAAAGAAGCCUUCCUUUCGGGGAAGGCAGAGCCGCCAAUGAAACACCACCCUUCCGCAAUGGGAGUUCUAACCUCGAGCCCUGAAGCGGGACGAGGGACAACGGCAGCGGGUCAGUUUGACUGGGGCGGUCUCCUCCUAAAGGGUAACGGAGGAGUUCUAAGGUCCCCUCAGCACGGUUGGCAAUCGUGCGGAGAGCGCAUGGGUAGAAGGGGGCUUAACUGUGAGACCGACAGGUCGAGCAGGUGCGAAAGCAGGACCAAGUGAUCCGGUGGUGGAACGUGGAAUCGCCAUCGCUCAACGGACAAAAGGUACGCCGGGGAUAACAGGCUGAUCGGGCCCAAGAGUCCACAUCGACGGCCCGGUUUGGCACCUCGAUGUCGGCUCAUCGCAUCCUGGGGCUGGAGAAGGUCCCAAGGGUCCGGCUGUUCGCCGGUUAAAGCGGUACGCGAGCUGGGUUCAGAACGUCGUGAGACAGUUCGGUCCUUAUCCACUGCGGGCGCAGGAGACUUGAGGGAUUCACUCCCUAGUACGAGAGGACCGGGAGUGACGCACCUCUGGUGUGCCGGUUGUGCCGUCAGGCGCAGCGCCGGGUAGCUAUGUGCGGAAAGGAUAAGCGCUGAAAGCAUCUAAGCGCCAAGCCUCUCCCUAGAUUAGGUCUCCCCAUCAGGGUCGUGGAAGACUACCACGUUGAUAGGUCGCAGGUGUAAGCGCGGUAACGCGUUGAGCCGAGCGAUACUAAGUACCCGAUUGGCUUUGGAAC
This 2874-nucleotide ribosomal RNA is filed under the name Candidatus Methylacidithermus pantelleriae. RNAcentral describes it as "Methylacidiphilaceae bacterium PQ17 ribosomal RNA 23s ribosomal RNA". It matches the Rfam family "Bacterial large subunit ribosomal RNA". Lineage: Bacteria; Pseudomonadati; Verrucomicrobiota; Methylacidiphilae; Methylacidiphilales; Methylacidiphilaceae. The record is from RNAcentral.